GAUGAACGCUAGCGGGAGGCCUAACACAUGCAAGCCGAGCGGUAUUGUUUCUUCGGAAAUGAGAGAGCGGCGUACGGUGCGGAACACGUGUGUAACCUGCCCUUUAUCUGGGGGAUAGCCUUUCGAAAGGAGAUUAAUACUCCAUAAUAUAUUGAACGGCAUCGUUUAAUAUUGAAAGCUCCGGCGGAUAGAGAUGGGCACGCGCAAGAUUAGCUAGUUGGUGAGGUAACGGCUCACCAAGGCGAUGAUCUUUAGGGGCCUGAGAGGUGAUCCCCCACACUGGUACUGAGACACGGACCAGACUCCUACGGGAGGCAGCAGUGAGGAAUAUUGGUCAAUGGGUGCAAGCCUGAACCAGCCAUCCCGCGUGAAGGACGACUGCCCUAUGGGUUGUAAACUUCUUUUGUAUAGGGAUAAACCUACCCUCGUGAGGGUAGCUGAAGGUACUAUACGAAUAAGCA
RNAcentral lists this ribosomal RNA (461 nucleotides) under uncultured bacterium. RNAcentral describes it as "bacterial SSU rRNA". It matches the Rfam family "Bacterial small subunit ribosomal RNA", at positions 28 to 492 of the family's 1533-position model. The record is from RNAcentral.